CUUACGUCUACUGUACAUCAUCAGUCCGCGCCAGGGGCUCGAUUGGCCCACUACGUUCAACGAAGUGGCUGCUUUGUGGUACCGGCAAUGAGUUGCCCCGGGGUGGCGGCGGCUCCCUGCCUUUGGCGGCUGCGCCAGGGUGUUCAGCGGUCCCUCUCAGCCCGUGGAGGAAGGAUCGGUGUCAGAUUUCGCAGUUCAGGAAUGACUUUAGACAAUAUCAAUUGGGCAGCUGUGGAUCGAAUAAUCCGGGUGGAUCAUGCAGGCGAAUACGGAGCAAACCGCAUCUAUGCCGGGCAGAUGGUCGUCCUGGGUCGGACAAGCGUCGGGCCAGUCAUUCAGAAAAUGUGGGAUCAAGAAAAGGACCAUUUGAAAAAGUUCAGUGAGUUGAUGGUUACGUUCAGGGUCCGGCCGACAGUUCUGAUGCCCCUUUGGAAUGUGCUGGGGUUUGCACUAGGGGCGGGAACCGCCUUGCUUGGGAAGGAAGGUGCGAUGGCCUGCACUGUGGCGGUGGAAGAGAGCAUAGCACAUCACUACAACAACCAGAUCAGGACGCUGAUGGAGGAGGACCCUGAAAAAUAUGAGGAACUUCUUCAGGUGAUUAAGAAAUUUCGAGAUGAAGAGCUUGAGCACCAUGACAUAGGCCUUGACAACGAUGCAGAAUUGGCUCCAGCAUAUGCCAUCCUGAAGAGCGUUAUCCAGGCCGGCUGCAAAGCAGCGAUAUAUUUAUCAGAAAGAUUGUAAAGUGUGUCCAGCUAUGCCUGUCUAUAAAAGAUGAUAAUUUACCAAGUGUCAUUUGCAGAGAAACAAGUGUACAGAGGCAAAAUCUCACUAUGUUGCCAGGCUGGUCUCUAAUUCCUGGGUUCAGCAGUCCUCCCGUUUCCACCUCCCAAAGUGCCAGGAUUACAGGCAUGAGCAACUUCACCAGGCUAAUUUUCUCCUGAAACGUCAAGGACAAAUCAUUAGUAAUGUAACAGGAAUCUUUAGGAGAAAAAACAGUUUGGUUUACUGAUAACAAAAGGUAAUUGGAAACAUGAGAGUAUUUAAGAUUCACCAAGCAGAACUGUGAAGUCCAUCAGGUAAGUCAAAGAUCAUCGUCAUUUCUGUUUUCAGUUGUGGGUGAUAUGGGUGGGAGAGUACUACAGUCUGAAUGUUUGUGUCUCCCCAGAAUUCAUUUGAUGAAAUCUUCACCCUCAAGUUGAUAGAAGGUGGGGCCUUUGGGAAAUAUAAGAUCAUGAGGGUGGAGCCCUCAUGAAUGAGAUUAGUGCCUUAUGAAAGGCACCAGAGAGAUUCCUCAUCCUCUCCACGGUGUGAGACUUUAAGGGGCGUGGUCUCUGAGAAAGUGGACUCUUCACAAGCACAAAUCAACAAGCACUUUGAUCAUGGACUUCCCAACCUCUAGGACUGUGAGCAAUAAAUGUUUGAUGUUUAUAAGCCACCCAGAUUGUGACACCCUGAACAGGCUAAGAUGGGGUGUUGCUUCCAUCAAAGAAUAUACUAACUUGUGGAUUAUUUGUGAAAUUGAAUUAUAAUAAUUUCCUUAAGGUCUUUUACUGCUCCUUUCCCCACACACAAAAAAAACCAAAACUGAUUCAAAAUGUCAUACUUUAAUGAAACAUUUUAUAAUUUGCAAAUUUUUAAGUAAUUCAUGAAAAACCUAGACCAGUGGAUCUCCUCUCUAGCUGCUCAUUAGAAUGUCCUGUGGAGUUUAAAUUUUUUAUGUUUGUGGAUCAAGAGUUCUGACUUGUUUAGGGUGGGGUUCAGGAUCAGGUGGUUUCUGAAGCUCCCAGGUGAUUCUGCUGCGAGAUGGGGCUGUGAGUCCCUGAGCUAGGUUAUAAGAUGCUUCUGGGAAAGAACCAUAUUUUAGGAAUUUGCCUUCCAACCAGUGCCCUACGUUUAAUCAGCACCUGAUGAGCCCCACCACAGUCUGGCUUUGAAGGGCAGUGGAUGCCAGGAUCAUUUUGAUUAAUCUUCUGCCACCUCUUUCUUUCCUCAACCAAGAGUGAAUUUAAUAUUAUUUAAUUGAAAGUCUACAAGUCAUAAUUGUAAUAAAUUAAGGCCAGGCAUUUGUUUUAAGUUAGGUAAGAUAAAGCCAAAGAUUUGAACAAGUUGUAGAUGGUUUGUAAAAAUUAAUCUUGUAAAAUAAAUUCUCUGUGAACAUAUUUAUUAAAUUCAAAAGGAUAUUUGGUUUUUCUGUAAAUUGAACCUUGGAAUAAAUGCACAACAAGGUUUUCUUAAAGCACUGAUCUGCUCUUUUACAAGAAUUUGUAAAGGGUUAUAAAAGGCUUAUAAGAAUCUCACCUCAUGGUCAAACUGGUUAAGAUUGGAUGGAUUUAUCUAUACGGUUUUAUUAAAAAUUGGGGAUGAUGUUAAUAGUAGACUGAUGCAAGGGUGAAAUCUGACUCUCUUGAACAAGAUUUUCAUGUAAUAGUGAAGGAUAAUGAAAGAUUUUUGUUUGCCUUGCCAAUAAACUACCAAAAGAAGGGAAAGGAAAGAGACAAAUUGUUAGGAAAGUUGUCUUCCCUCUUACUGAGUAUAGGUUGUGUGCCUUUUAAAAAAGUUUUUGAGUUAUCAUUUUGUCUAAUGGUAACCUGUAAUUCUGUUUUAAUAAUAGCAAGUGUUUUAAACCUUUAACAUGUUUGGUAGCCUUCCCCAAAUCAAAUUUUAGCUUCAAGGUUGUCUUUUUUGACCCCUAACUUUUGGAUGCUGCAGAAGUCCCCUAAAUUAUUUGACAUGUUUAAUUACAUGGAAUUGCCAAAAUUAAAAUAAUGUUUAAUUUUCUUCAGGUUAGAUUUUAGUGAAUAACAUUAAUAUGUGUUCCAAAAUUGUAUGAGAUUUCUAAAAUUAUACUGAGUAUAUGUUAUCAAUCAUAAUUAGGUUUAUUAAGUUAUUGUAAACCACAGAAAUAACCAAAUUUGUCAAUUGUGUUUUCGACUGUGACUACCCGAAGACAUUCUUUGCAUUCACAGACAAUUGUAGUCUUGUUUUGAUUCUCUUCAAAGGAUGGUUUUUAAUCAGCUAUCGAACUUUGACAGGUGCUCUUAAAUGCAGGUUUCUGAUAUCUUUGGAGAUCGUGAUAUUAGGAUAAAGGAAAAACAUUCAGCACGCAUGACUAGCUGAAAUAUUCCUGAAUAUCAAGCAGAACAAGAGUUAACUGGGCUGAACUAAUAGAAAACAAGUAAUCUGUUUAACUUUUUGCUUAACCCAUUGCUCAUCUAUUUUUCAGUGUCAAGAAAACUUUUAUUUUGAGCUAUUUAUAGCUUUUAACAAUUGAGUAAGGUAUACUCCUGUGAACCAAAUUUGGAGCAUAUUUCUUUCUGCUGAUUUCUCUAGAAUUUGGAAACUAUUUGUGAGUAUUCUUAUGGCCAUGUAGUUAUUUGCAUCAGUGCAACAAGAAUCCAUUUUCUUUUGCAACAGGACACAAUUGGAAAAAUUGUUUUACCAGUUUCUGAUAGAAGGGUGUGCUUCUCUUUAAGGAAUCAAGCUUGACUUGCAGAGCCAAAAAAAAAAAAAAAAAACAAACUUCUUGGAAAAAUUGGCCUCAUAACUUCAUCUACACAGUCCUUGUACAGGGCUCCUAACCUGUGAUGAGUAAAGAAUGUCACUUUCUAACAGGCCCAAGAGCCCCAAGUUAUCUUGGGACCUCAAAAAGAGAGAAAUGUACUCAACUCAAUAGGUAUUUGAAGGUUCAAACCCAUUACUGGGCUUGGCUUUGAAAAGUCUUUCCUGAGAUUCCUUAUGGAACAGGAUUCCGUCAGAGCCAGUUUUAAAAGCAUAUGUGAAAAAUAAUUAUUCCUGCUGCACUUUAUGCAAAUAAUCAGGCCACGUAUAAGACUAAAAUUUAUUUUGCAAACAACUCAGUCUUAUCACAAUUUAGCAAAAAUGAGGACUGGAGAGAGAAAAAUUAGGAUUUAAAACUCAUCAGACAUGUCAUUAAAUUCUAGUCUCAUUAGUUUUUGUUUGUAUUUUAGACUAACCGUGCUUAUUCCUGUGAACCAACCAGUGAUCUCUGGCUGCAGCUCAGAAGAAACAAAAGGGAUGGGUAAUAUAAAAAUCUGAAUCAGUAUUCUAGUUCUGGGCAGCUAUCCUGCAAAUCCUGCCAGAUGACAGGGGAAAAAGGGGUGCCCAUAACCUGGAGUUUUCUUUGGGAAAAUAAGACCAGGGGAGCUAACCAAAGCCCCACCCCAUGCACCCCAAUUUUAGCAAAGAAACCUAUAGCCACAAGUUAUCUGGGCGUGUUGGCAGCCUCAGGAUUUUUGAGCUGUCCUUACUCCCUUGUUUCAUUUUGAUACAUGUCUUCUAAUAGCCUAGUUUGUCUCUUUUACCUAGAGGUCAUCAAACUCCAAAUGGUCAUGCAGUUGGAAUCUUAAGAAGAUGGCCUCUUUUACCUGGGACCCUUAGAUAGGCCUCUGAGUGAGCUCUGACUGCUGUUUUCCCAAAACAGCGCCCCCUGUCAGCAGGGAGCAGUUAAGAGUGAUCAUUGUCCUUAUCCUAAUGGCAGUAGGAUGUACCUCUUGAGAGGGGAGAAUGAUAGCAACAGGAGGCAGUCAAAUGCCCAGGAAGAUAGGGAUGGGUCCCUGGUGAAUCCUGACCUUCAAACCAAAGACAGUUUAAAGCCUGAAAGCCAAGCUACAAGUCUGGUAAAUCCACAGACUGGACUGAGAACCUGUCUUCCUGUUUGGUGUGACUGAUCUCCACCCUUCCUUAAUUGUUUUUCUACACUGUUGUGCCCAACUUUGAGUGGUGCCUUUGUUUUUUACCCUUUUUUGCAUACUCAGAAACCAGUCAGCAUGCACUCCCCCAUUCUAAGCCCAUAAAAGCCCUGGACCCAGCCACACUGGGGGAGAGACCACCCUUGUGUCCCCUGUCUGCUGAGAGCUGUUCCAUCAGUCAGUGAAAUUCUUCUUUGCCCUCCUCACUUUUCGAUUGUCAGCAUAACCUCAUCCUUCUUGGAUGUGGGAUAAGAACUUGGGAACCGCCAAAUACAGGUACAAGUUGUAAUACAGUCGGGCUGGGGCACACCUGGCCCAGCCACAGGCUGAGCCCAUGUGCAAGUCAGGUGCGGCCAGUGCACCGCGUGGGUGGGGCGCCUCCCUGCGGCAAGUCUGGGGCCGAGUGAGGUCUGGGCUGGGGGGCAUCACCAUUGUGGAGUUCCCCGGUUGGCAUAGUGGCUGAGAAAAAUCCUGCAUAAAAACCUUGCUGAUAGGAAUGAAAAAUAGUAUAGCCAUUUCAGGAAACUGUCUGGUAGUUCCUUAGUUAAACAUAACAUAGGAUACAGCAACUCCUUCUUUGAGUGUUAACCCAAUAGAAAUGAAAACAUAGCCAUGUGUGGUAGCUCACACCUGCAAUCCCAGCACUUUGGGAGGCUGAGGCAGGUGGAUCACUUGAGUCCAGGAGGUUGAGACCAGCCUGGCCAACAUAGCAAAACCUCUUAGCCAGGUGUGGUGGUGGGCUCCUGUUGUCCCAACUGCUUGGGAGGCUGAGGUUGAAGGACUGCUUGGGCCCAGGUGGUAAAGCUGCAGAGAGCCAGGAUCGCACCACUGCACUCUAGCCUGGGUGAGAGGGAGACCCUGUCUCUAAAAAAAGAAAACAUGUUCAAACCAAUACUUGUACAUGAAUGUUCAUAACAACUAAAAGUAGAAACAACUCAUGUCCAUCACCUGAUGGACAAAAAUGUGAUACACCCAAACAAGGCAGUCUUACUCAGCUAUUAAGUAAAGUAGUGAUACAUGAUAACAACAUGGAUGAGCCUUAAAAACAUCACACUUGGGUCCAGAGGUUCAAUAUGGGAAGAUGAAAAUAGUUCUGGAAAUGGAUGGUGUUGAUUGUUGAAUGUCCUUAUUGUCAGAUAAAUGUACUCUUAAAAAUGGUUAACAUGGGGGCCAGGCACAGUGGCUCAUGCCUGCCAUCCCAGCGCUUUGGGAGGCCAAGGUAGAAGGAUCGCUUGAAUCCAGGAGUUCGAGGCUGCAGUGAGCCAGGAGAGCACCAAUACAUUCUAGCCUGAACGACUUUUUGUCUCUGAGGAAAAAAGAUAAAGGUUAAAAUAGCAAAUUUUAUAUUAUGUAUAUUUUACCACAGUUUAAAAAAAAAUUAUGCAAAGUGAAAGAAGCCAGACAUGAAAGGUCAAAUAUUGUAUUAUUCCACUUACAUGAAGUGUCCAGGAUAGGCAAAUCCAUAGAAACAAGGUAGAUUAGUGGUCAUCUGGGGCUGGUGGGUUAGGGAGGGGCAGAAAUGGGGAGUAACUGCUAAUGGAUACAGAGAUUCUUUUUUGGGGGGGUGAUAAAAAUGUUCUAGAAUCAACGGUGAUAGUCGCACAACCUAUACUUAAAUUUACUGGAUCAUAUACCUUAAAAUUGUAAAUUGUAUGACAUGUAAAUUGUCUUAGUCUGUUUUGUGUUCCUGUAACAAAAUACCCAAGACUGGGUAAUUUAUAAA
RNA transcript from Callithrix jacchus (white-tufted-ear marmoset), 6432 nucleotides. It is a transcript of the gene named coenzyme Q7, hydroxylase, with no coding region annotated. The record is from RefSeq and is a predicted model, not a curated record. Lineage: Eukaryota; Metazoa; Chordata; Mammalia; Primates; Cebidae.